RNAcentral lists this ribosomal RNA (1310 nucleotides) under uncultured prokaryote. RNAcentral describes it as "partial 16S ribosomal RNA". It matches the Rfam family "Bacterial small subunit ribosomal RNA", at positions 27 to 1381 of the family's 1533-position model. The record is from RNAcentral.
GAACGAACGCUGGCGGCAGGCCUAACACAUGCAAGUCGAGCGCCCCGCAAGGGAACUGGCGCACGGGUGAGUAACGCGUGGGAACCUGCCCCGAGGUUCGGAAUAACGGCUGGAAACGGCCGCUAAUACCGGAUGCGCCUUGAGAGGGAAAGGAGCAUAUCGCUCUGGGAUGAGCCCGCGUUGGAUUAGCUAGUUGGUGGGGUAAAGGCCUACCAAGGCGACGAUCUAUAGCUGGUCUGAGAGGAUGAUCAGCCACACUGGGACUGAGACACGGCCCAGACUCCUACGGGAGGCAGCAGUGGGGAAUAUUGGACAAUGGGGGCAACCCUGAUCCAGCCAUGCCGCGUGAGUGAAGAAGGCCUUAGGGUUGUAAAGCUCUUUCAGUCGUGACGAUGAUGACGGUAACGACAGAAGAAGCCCCGGCUAACUCCGUGCCAGCAGCCGCGGUAAUACGGAGGGGGCAAGCGUUGUUCGGAAUUACUGGGCGUAAAGGGCGUGUAGGCGGAUUUUCAAGUCAGAGGUGAAAGCCCAGGGCUCAACCCUGGAAUAGCCUUUGAAACUGAUGAUCUAGAGUAUGGAAGAGGGUGGCGGAAUUCCCAGUGUAGAGGUGAAAUUCGUAGAUAUUGGGAGGAACACCGGCGGCGAAGGCGGCCACCUGGACAGUGAUUGACGCUGAGGCGCGAAAGCGUGGGUAGCAAACAGGAUUAGAUACCCUGGUAGUCCACGCCGUAAACGAUGUGUGCUAGACACGUUGGGGGUCUUAGGCCUUCAGUGGCGCAGCUAACGCGUUAAGCACACCGCCUGGGGAGUACGGCCGCAAGGUUAAAACUCAAAGGAAUUGACGGGGGCCCGCACAAGCGGUGGAGCAUGUGGUUUAAUUCGAAACAACGCGCAGAACCUUACCAGCCCUUGACAUGGGGGUCGCGGGCGCCGGAGACGGCACCUUCGGUUCGGCCGGACGGGACACAGGUGCUGCAUGGCUGUCGUCAGCUCGUGUCGUGAGAUGUUGGGUUAAGUCCCGCAACGAGCGCAACCCUCGCCCUUAGUUGCCAUCAUUAAGUUGGGCACUCUAGGGGAACUGCCGGUGACAAGCCGGAGGAAGGCGGGGAUGACGUCAAGUCCUCAUGGCCCUUAUGGGCUGGGCUACACACGUGCUACAAUGGCGGUGACAAUGGGUCGCGACCCAGCAAUGGCGAGCUAAUCCCCAAAAACCGUCUCAGUUCGGAUUGUCCUCUGCAACUCGGGGGCAUGAAGGUGGAAUCGCUAGUAAUCGUGGAUCAGCAUGCCACGGUGAAUACGUUCCCGGGCCU